Non-coding RNA from Dipodomys ordii (Ord's kangaroo rat), 76 nucleotides. The record is from Rfam. NCBI's taxonomy places the organism in Eukaryota, Metazoa, Chordata, Mammalia, Rodentia, Heteromyidae.
ACCACUGAGCCACCUUCCCAGCCCCAAGUUACCCUUUUAAAAUAAUGUUCCAGGGCUGGGAAGGUGGCUCAGUGGU